RNAcentral lists this ribosomal RNA (1079 nucleotides) under Staphylococcus aureus. RNAcentral describes it as "bacterial SSU rRNA". It matches the Rfam family "Bacterial small subunit ribosomal RNA", at positions 51 to 1119 of the family's 1533-position model. The record is from RNAcentral. Lineage: Bacteria; Bacillati; Bacillota; Bacilli; Caryophanales; Staphylococcaceae.
AUACAUGCAGUCGAGCGAACGGACGAGAAGCUUGCUUCUCUGAUGUUAGCGGCGGAGGGUGAGUAACACGUGGAUACCUACCUAUAAGACUGGGAUAACUUCGGGAAACCGGAGCUAAUACCGGAUAAUAUUUUGAACCGCAGGUUCAAAAGUGAAAGACGGUCUUGCUGUCACUUAUAGAUGGAUCCGCGCUGCAUUAGCUAGUUGGUAAGGUAACGGCUUACCAAGGCAACGAUGCAUAGCCCACCUGAGAGGGUGAUCGGCCACACUGGAACUGAGACACGGUCCAGACUCCUACGGGAGGCAGCAGUAGGGAAUCUUCCGCAGUGGGCGAAAGCCUGACGGAGCAACGCCGCGUGAGUGAUGAAGGUCUUCGGAUCGUAAAACUCUGUUAUUAGGGAAGAACAUAUGUGUAAGUAACUGUGCACAUCUGGACGGUACCUAAUCAGAAAGCCACGGCUAACUACGUGCCAGCAGCCGCGGUAAUACGUAGGUGGCAAGCGUUAUCCGGAAUUAUUGGGCGUAAAGCGCGCGUAGGCGGUUUUUUAAGUCUGAUGUGAAAGCCCACGGCUCAACCGUGGAGGGUCAUUGGAAACUGGAAAACUUGAGUGCAGAAGAGGAAAGUGGAAUUCCAUGUGUAGCGGUGAAAUGCGCAGAGAUAUGGAGGAACACCAGUGGCGAAGGCGACUUUCUGGUCUGUAACUGACGCUAAUGUGCGAAAGCGUGGGGAUCACACAGGAUUAGAUACCCUGGUAGUCCACGCCGUACACGAUGAGUGCUAAGUGUUAGGGGGUUUCCGCCCCUUAGUGCUGCAGCUAACGCAUUAAGCACUCCGCCGGGGGAGUACGACCGCAGGGUUGAAACUCAAAGGAAUUGACGGGGACCCGCACAAGCGGUGGAGCAUGUGGUUUAAUUCGAAGCAACGCGGAGAACCUUACCAAAUCUUGACAUCCUUUGACAACUCUUGAGAUAGAGCUUUCCCCUUCGGGGGACAAGUGACAGGUGGUGCAGGGUUUCCUCCCCUCGUGUCCGGGAAUGUGGGUUAAUCCCGCACCAGGGCACCCUUAGGCUUAUUUGCC